UUCUGGUUGAUCCUGCCGGAGGCUACCGCUAUUGGAGUUCGAUUAAGCCAUGCGAGUCGAGAGUCUUAGGGACUCGGCGUACCGUUCAGUAACACGUGGGUAACCUGCCCUAUGCUGGGGAAUAACCUCGGGAAACUGAGAAUAAUACCCCAUAGUUCACCACGCCUGGAACGGUGGGUGGAUGAAAGCUCCGGCGGCAUAGGAUGGGCCUGCGACGUAUCAGGUUGUAGGGGGUGUAACGUACCCUCUAGCCAUCAACGCGUACGGGUGUUGGGAGACAUAGCCCGGAGAUGGAUUCUGAGACACGAAUCCAGACCCUACGGGGUGCAGCAGGCGCGAAAACUUGGCAAUGCGAGCAAUCGUGACCAGGGAACUCCAAGUGGCUGGGGUAAUACCCAGUUUUUUCUUGACUCUUCAAAGGUCUUGGAAUAAGGGGUGGGUAAGGACGGUGCCAGCCGCCGCGGUAAUACCGGCGCCUCAAGUGGUAGUCGCUUUUAUUGGGCCUAAAACGUCCGUAGCCGGUCUGGUGCAUUCGUGGGUAAAUCAACCCGCUCAACGGGUUGAAUUCUGCGAGCACGGCCAGACUUGGGACCGGGAGAGGUGUGGGGUACUCUCAGGGUAGGGGUAAAAUCCUGUCAUCCUGAGAGGAC
Molecule: ribosomal RNA, 650 nt
Filed under: uncultured Candidatus Poseidoniales archaeon
Lineage: Archaea; Methanobacteriati; Thermoplasmatota; Candidatus Poseidoniia; Candidatus Poseidoniales
Description: bacterial SSU rRNA
Rfam family: Archaeal small subunit ribosomal RNA
Source: RNAcentral